UGAGUAAGAAAUGUAACGUCACAGAGAACAUGAGCAUGGACCCUGUGGAAGGAUGACAUGGAAAUUCACAAAGCAUUCCAUAUUUAA
This 87-nucleotide small nuclear RNA is filed under the name Neogale vison (American mink). Lineage: Eukaryota; Metazoa; Chordata; Mammalia; Carnivora; Mustelidae. The record is from RNAcentral.